RNAcentral lists this small nuclear RNA (158 nucleotides) under Castor canadensis (American beaver). RNAcentral describes it as "U1 spliceosomal RNA (ENSCCNG00000014645.1)". It matches the Rfam family "U1 spliceosomal RNA". From Rfam's summary of the family: U1 is a small nuclear RNA (snRNA) component of the spliceosome (involved in pre-mRNA splicing). Its 5' end forms complementary base pairs with the 5' splice junction, thus defining the 5' donor site of an intron. The record is from Rfam by way of RNAcentral. Lineage: Eukaryota; Metazoa; Chordata; Mammalia; Rodentia; Castoridae.
UAUCUUUUCUGGCAGGAGAGAUACCAUGAUCAAAGAAGGUGGUUUCCAGGGCUGAAGCUUAUCCAUUGCACUCAGAUGUGCUGAACCCCUGUGAUUUCCCAACAUGGGAAACUCGACUGCAUAUUUGUGGUAGUGGGAGACUGCAUUCUCGGCUCUCC